AAAAAAACAAAAAAGAGAUUUGAUUAUGGAGUUAAUUAUGUUGAGGAGCCCUGACAUGUUUGUGUGGGAGAGAGCAAAAUGUUAUCUGAUAACACAUCCAAAAUAGUGCUAAUAAUAGAACAUCAGAUUUAAUGUUAAUUUGAGCUCAAGAAUGAGUACUUGUGUAAUUAUGGUAUAUGUUGAUGGUAAUAACUCUAACCCUAUAUUUGGAUCAUGGUGUGGAUGGUUUCAUAUUGUAUAGUUACUCUAUAUGUUUG
RNAcentral lists this unclassified non-coding RNA (257 nucleotides) under Hevea brasiliensis (rubber tree). The record is from RNAcentral. Lineage: Eukaryota; Viridiplantae; Streptophyta; Magnoliopsida; Malpighiales; Euphorbiaceae.